RNAcentral lists this ribosomal RNA (465 nucleotides) under uncultured bacterium. Its description in RNAcentral is "partial 16S ribosomal RNA". It matches the Rfam family "Bacterial small subunit ribosomal RNA", at positions 338 to 795 of the family's 1533-position model. The record is from RNAcentral.
CCUACGGGAGGCAGCAGUAGGGAAUCUUCCACAAUGGGCGCAAGCCUGAUGGAGCAACACCGCGUGAGUGAAGAAGGGUUUCGGCUCGUAAAGCUCUGUUGUUGGAGAAGAACGUGCGUGCGAGUAACUGUUCACGCAGUGACGGUAUCCAACCAGAAAGUCCCGGCUAACUACGUGCCAGCAGCCGCGGUAAUACGUAGGUGGCAAGCGUUAUCCGGAUUUAUUGGGCGUAAAGCGAGCGCAGGCGGUUGCUUAGGUCUGAUGUGAAAGCCUUCGGCUUAACCGGAGAAGUGCAUCGGAAACCGGGGGACUUGAGUGCAGGAGAGGACAGUGGAACUCCAUGUGUAGCGGUGAAAUGCGUAGAUAUAUGGAAGAACACCAGUGGCGAAGGCGGCUGGCUGGUCUGCAACUGACGCUGAGGCUCGAAAGCGUGGGUAGCGAACAGGAUUAGAUACCCUUGUAGUC